Molecule: long non-coding RNA, 295 nt
Organism: Sphaerodactylus townsendi
Lineage: Eukaryota; Metazoa; Chordata; Lepidosauria; Squamata; Sphaerodactylidae
Exons: 3
Source: RefSeq, a predicted model, not a curated record
CCAGGUUUGGAUGAAGAAGGAAGCCUCUACGUCUUUAAGGAGGACCACAUCAUUGAGUUUGAUGGACAGAUGGCCGCCGACGUCUUGGUGGAAUUCCUCCUGGACCUGAUGGAGGAUCCAGUGGAGAUCAUCAACAACAAGCUGGAGCUGCAGGGCUUUGACCGCAUAGAAGAGGAGAUGAAACUGAUCGGCUUCUUUAAAGGAGAAGACUCAGAACACUACAAAGCAUUUGAGGAGGCAGCUGAACAUUUCCAGCCUUACGUCAAGUUCUUCGCCACCUUUGACAAAGGGGUAG